AGUGAACGCUGGCGGUAGGCUUAACACAUGCAAGUCGAACGGCAGCACAGUACGAGUUUGCUCUUACCGGGUGCCAGUGGCGUACGGGUCAGGAAUACAUCGGGACCUACUCUUUGGUGGGGGUUAACGUAGCGAAACCUACGCUAAUAUCGCAUAUGAUCCACGAGUGAAAGCAUGGGAUCGUUUGACCUUGUGCGAUUGAAUGAGCGGAUGUUGGACUAGCUAGUUGGCGGGUUAAAGGCCCACCAAGGCGACGAUCCGUAGCUGGUCUGAGUGGAUGGUCGGCCACAUUGGAGCUUAGCCACGGUCCAGGCUCCUGCGGGAGGCAGCAGUCGGGAAUAGUGGGCAGUGGGGGCGAGCCUGAUCCAGUCAUACCGCGUGGGUGACGGAGGCGUUCGGGUUGUAAAGCCGGUCUGUUGGGAAAGAACAGCAGCAGGUUAAGACCCCGCUGUUGUGACGGUACCCAAUGAAUAAGCACCGGCUAACUUCGUG
Molecule: ribosomal RNA, 492 nt
Filed under: uncultured bacterium
Lineage: Bacteria
Description: partial 16S ribosomal RNA
Rfam family: Bacterial small subunit ribosomal RNA
Source: RNAcentral